CUUUGAAGAGAGAGUUCUCGAGGGCGUGAACCGCUAAGAAGGAAACGGAUAGAGUCGACGACACUUGUGCGGUAUUCAGCCAAACAACGUUGCGGCACUUAUGAUUUGAUGUCUCGAUGAGAGUUGAAUUAUGAGAGGACUGUAUGCGUAUAGUUUGGUGUAUUUAUCGUCGGUAUGUGCUGAGGAAUUUGUUGUGAUAUGUUGAAGCAAUAUAAAGAGGACCAUAUUAAUCUUAAUGUGGAAACUUUUAUAUGUUCAGACAUAUUCUAAAUAAAUUGUAUUGACAUUCUCCGCUAUAGCGCAUAAAUUAUAAGUUGUUUAUUGAAUUACUGAGCGGUCGCAUGCGAUUUGCUUGUAAUUUUAAUGGAUAUCUAUAUAAUUAAUAUGCGUUGAGAGUGUAUCUCGGUGUGAAAGUCGAUCACCUAUCCGACCCGUCUUGAAACACGGACCAAGGAGUCUAGCAUAUGCGCAAGUCAUUGGGUGGUAAACCUAAAGGCGUAAUGAAAGUAAAUGUUGUUUUGGACAACUGAUAUGGGAUCUGUUUAGUUUUAACUAAGCAGCGCACCAUAGUCCCGUCUAUGUUGCUUGCAAUAGGGCGGCGAUAGAGCGCAUACGCUGGGACCCGAAAGAUGGUGAACUAUGCCUGAGCAGGAUGAAGCCAGAGGAAACUCUGGUGGAGGUCYGAAGCGGUUCUGACGUGCAAAUCGAU
RNAcentral lists this ribosomal RNA (709 nucleotides) under Binema sp. SES-2009. RNAcentral's name for it is "eukaryotic LSU rRNA". It matches the Rfam family "Eukaryotic large subunit ribosomal RNA", at positions 374 to 902 of the family's 3401-position model. Lineage: Eukaryota; Metazoa; Nematoda; Chromadorea; Rhabditida; Travassosinematidae. The record is from RNAcentral.